CCAGUGAGCAUUGCAACAGCAGUUAUAGUAAAGAACAAUGGCCGCAAGCCUGUCACUCUAACUAGUGCUAUACUAAGUCAUCUCAAGUUCAAGAGGCGAGGAAAGGCAGCAAUUCAAGGAUUCAAGGGUUGCUCCUACUGCCCACUCCCUCCUUUAUCUUCUCCUUUUGAAAUUUUAUCUCCUGGUGAAGCCAUGAAAUCUGAGUCUUCAGGAGUUUUUGAUUUUGGUUCUGAGCCUGAGGACAAACCAGGCACAUGGAGAGUUCAAGAUGUACCCUUCACAAUUUUGAAGAAUAAGUUCAGCAGAGUUUAUGCUGCUCCACCACAAGAAAGACUAAAAGCUAUUUAUAACACCCCACCUUCAAAAUAUGAAACACUUGACCAGGGACUUGAGCUUUUCUUUAGGGUGAUUCGGAUGGGUUUCGAAGACACAUACAUAGGGAGCCCAGGUUCCUUAUCAGAGAAGUAUGGUCAGGAGUAUUUUAUCUGCACUGGCCCUGCUGCAAUGCUGGUGCCUGUUAUUGUGGAACCAGGUGAAGAUUGGAGAGGGGAACAGGUUAUUGAGCAUGAUAAUUUGUAAUUAUAUAAAAAAUUAAAAUUCAUCUUACUCUUCUUUUUCAGUUUCCGUGGUUGUCAGAUUGGUUGGUUUGUCUCAUAAUCAAUCUUGUAAUCACGUAGUUAUCUUUACUCAAGAGAUGUCAUUAUAGUUGAUCAGUCCCUGAAGCUUAUUUUGAUUUAAAGCCCAAAGAAGUGAAAUAGAAUGAAUACUUGUACUAUUUGUAAGAGCUUAUUUAAGUUCCUUAGCAGCUUGGAAAGAGAAGGCCUUGAGGACAUCUGAAGAGAAGGCCUUGAGGACAUCUAACAAGUGUUUUGCUGCAAAAUGUUGGUAGUUGUAAACCAAUUUAGAAAUCAAUAAAGUGGUAAUGCAGACAAGAUCAGC
Molecule: unclassified non-coding RNA, 939 nt
Filed under: Hevea brasiliensis (rubber tree)
Lineage: Eukaryota; Viridiplantae; Streptophyta; Magnoliopsida; Malpighiales; Euphorbiaceae
Source: RNAcentral